Molecule: ribosomal RNA, 334 nt
Filed under: uncultured eukaryote
Lineage: Eukaryota
Description: partial 18S ribosomal RNA
Rfam family: Eukaryotic small subunit ribosomal RNA
Source: RNAcentral
CCCUUAGAUGUCCGGGGCCGCACGCGCGCUACACUGAAGGAAUCAGCGUGGCUUUCUCCCUGACCCGAAAGGGUUGGGAAACCCGUUGAAUCUCCUUCGUGAUAGGGAUUGGGGCUUGAAAUUGUUCCCCAUGAACGAGGAAUUCCCAGUAAGCGCGAGUCAUAAGCUCGCGUUGAUUACGUCCCUGCCCUUUGUACACACCGCCCGUCGCUACUACCGAUUGAACGGUUUAGUGAGGGACUAGGAUUGGUCUCGGCCCGCUCUUUACCGGGCGGCGCCGUUGGUCGAGAAGACGCUCGAACUUGAUCGUUUAGAGGAAGUAAAAGUCGUAACA